AAGUAAAAGAAGCAAAUUAGAUGUUAUAAAAUAUCAAUAAACUAUUUAUUUAUUCAACACAUUCACUGCCAGUGACAUCCACACAUUGUCAUCAUGUUGUUAAUAAACCUAGACGAUGACGAUGCGUCGUCAUCAUAAAUAAAUGGAGUUUUUGAUUAAAUUAAAAUAUUGAGUACAGAAAAACAUUUAUCUUUUAAACUAAUAAACAGGAUUGAAGACUGUGAAUACUUACAGUUACAGCAAAUUGUUCUGCUUCUACAAGAUCUUCAUAAGGACAAUCUAAGUCUCUAAGUUUCUUUAAUUGAUCUGGUGGUGAAUAAAAAAUAAAUUAAAUGUUCUAAGAAUUUUAAGAAACAUGAAAAAUACAUGGACCCCUCAAAAAAUUAUCUAACAAAAAGGAAUUAAUGCACCCAUUUAUAGCAUUUCUUCAAACUUAUCAUUGAGUGCUUCUACAUCUAAAUGUUCAAUAAACAUUUCACACUCAUCUGCAUCGUAUUGACCUCCUGAUGAAAUAUCGUUAUCUGAGUUGAUGCGUGGCAAAGAGCGGCUGCCAACACCAUAUGUACUUCCACUGCUGUAGAUACCAUUGCCACCGACACCACCAAUGGGUGAUGA
This is a long non-coding RNA of Aphis gossypii (cotton aphid), 615 nucleotides long. RefSeq lists it as uncharacterized. The transcript has 5 exons. The record is from RefSeq and is a predicted model, not a curated record. NCBI's taxonomy places the organism in Eukaryota, Metazoa, Arthropoda, Insecta, Hemiptera, Aphididae.